GGGGGUGAUAUGGCUUCGACGUGGGUGAUGGAGCCCAAGGUGCAUGCCGAGGUUACAGUCAACCUCGUAAAACAGACUGUGCAAUAAUAGUUGCCAACGACGACAACUACGCUCUGGCUGCUUGACGGCCAGCCUCUGACCGGGCCGUGCUUGUGCGCUCGGGGUUUCGCGUAAUACGGAACACUCAAGGGGUAACUUCACGCAAGAUCGCCAUGAAGCCCCGCCCCGGGUGGAUUGGUUAAACCUUUGGGGCUCGCCAUGCCCUUUCCCUGUCUUGUCGGGAAGCGGAAUGGUUAAAUAUAAAGGCAGACUAAGCAUGUAGGACCGAAGGUAAAGUGCUUGCGGACGCGGGUUCGAUUCCCGCCACCUCCACCA
This 375-nucleotide transfer-messenger RNA is filed under the name Candidatus Kentrum sp. TC. RNAcentral describes it as "Candidatus Kentron sp. TC transfer-messenger RNA". It matches the Rfam family "transfer-messenger RNA". From Rfam's summary of the family: Bacterial tmRNA, also known as 10Sa RNA or SsrA, is named for its dual tRNA and mRNA-like properties. Its role is to liberate the mRNA from a stalled ribosome. To accomplish this part of the tmRNA is used as a reading frame that ends in a translation stop signal. The record is from RNAcentral. Lineage: Bacteria; Pseudomonadati; Pseudomonadota; Gammaproteobacteria.